AAGCCCUUAUUAUAUGAAAUGUUAAAGGUACUUAUUAAGAAAAAGGAGCUGGUCCUUUGGGGCCUGGUGCUCAAAAGUGAUGAAUUGAUCAGAUAGACAAGGCUGGGCUUGUCCCAGGCUGCUGAUUAUCGAGGCAAUUCUGAUCUG
Non-coding RNA from Phyllostomus discolor (pale spear-nosed bat), 147 nucleotides. RefSeq annotates it as small Cajal body-specific RNA 2. NCBI's taxonomy places the organism in Eukaryota, Metazoa, Chordata, Mammalia, Chiroptera, Phyllostomidae. The record is from RefSeq and is a predicted model, not a curated record. The transcript has a single exon.